GAUGAACGCUGGCGGCGUGCCUAAUACAAGCAAGUCGAGCGAACGGACGAGAAGCUUGCUUCUCUGAUGUUAGCGGCGGACGGGUGAGUAACACGUGGAUAACCUACCUAUAAGACUGGGAUAACUUCGGGAAACCGGAGCUAAUACCGGAUAAUAUUUUGAACCGCAUGGUUCAAAAGUGAAAGACGGUCUUGCUGUCACUUAUAGAUGGAUCCGCGCUGCAUUAGCUAGUUGGUAAGGUAACGGCUUACCAAGGCAACGAUGCAUAGCCGACCUGAGAGGGUGAUCGGCCACACUGGAACUGAGACACGGUCCAGACUCCUACGGGAGGCAGCAGUAGGGAAUCUUCCGCAAUGGGCGAAAGCCUGACGGAGCAACGCCGCGUGAGUGAUGAAGGUCUUCGGAUCGUAAAACUCUGUUAUUAGGGAAGAACAUAUGUGUAAGUAACUGUGCACAUCUUGACGGUACCUAAUCAGAAAGCCACGGCUAACUACGUGCCAGCAGCCGCGGUAAUACGUAGGUGGCAAGCGUUAUCCGGAAUUAUUGGGCGUAAAGCGCGCGUAGGCGGUUUUUUAAGUCUGAUGUGAAAGCCCACGGCUCAACCGUGGAGGGUCAUUGGAAACUGGAAAACUUGAGUGCAGAAGAGGAAAGUGGAAUUCCAUGUGUAGCGGUGAAAUGCGCAGAGAUAUGGAGGAACACCAGUGGCGAAGGCGACUUUCUGGUCUGUAACUGACGCUGAUGUGCGAAAGCGUGGGGAUCAAACAGGAUUAGAUACCCUGGUAGUCCACGCCGUAAACGAUGAGUGCUAAGUGUUAGGGGGUUUCCGCCCCUUAGUGCUGCAGCUAACGCAUUAAGCACUCCGCCUGGGGAGUACGACCGCAAGGUUGAAACUCAAAGGAAUUGACGGGGACCCGCACAAGCGGUGGAGCAUGUGGUUUAAUUCGAAGCAACGCGAAGAACCUUACCAAAUCUUGACAUCCUUUGACAACUCUAGAGAUAGAGCCUUCCCCUUCGGGGGGGCAAAGUGACAGGUGGUGCAUGGUUGUCGUCAGCUCGUGUCGUGAGAUGUUGGGUUAAGUCCCGCAACGAGCGCAACCCUUAAGCUUAGUUGCCAUCAUUAAGUUGGGCACUCUAAGUUGACUGCCGGUGACAAACCGGAGGAAGGUGGGGAUGACGUCAAAUCAUCAUGCCCCUUAUGAUUUGGGCUACACACGUGCUACAAUGGACAAUACAAAGGGCAGCGAAACCGCGAGGUCAAGCAAAUCCCAUAAAGUUGUUCUCAGUUCGGAUUGUAGUCUGCAACUCGACUACAUGAAGCUGGAAUCGCUAGUAAUCGUAGAUCAGCAUGCUACGGUGAAUACGUUCCCGGGUCU
This 1373-nucleotide ribosomal RNA is filed under the name uncultured bacterium. RNAcentral describes it as "bacterial SSU rRNA". It matches the Rfam family "Bacterial small subunit ribosomal RNA", at positions 28 to 1381 of the family's 1533-position model. The record is from RNAcentral.